Molecule: ribosomal RNA, 404 nt
Filed under: uncultured bacterium
Lineage: Bacteria
Description: bacterial SSU rRNA
Rfam family: Bacterial small subunit ribosomal RNA
Source: RNAcentral
UGGGGAAUCUUGCGCAAUGGCCGAAAGGCUGACGCAGCGACGCCGCGUGUGGGAUGACGGUCUUCGGAUUGUAAACCACUGUCGGGAGGGACGAAGUUCUGACGGUACCUCCAAAGGAAGCACUGGCUAACUCUGUGCCAGCAGCCGCGGUAAUACAGAGGGUGCGAGCGUUGUCCGGAAUCACUGGGCGUAAAGGGCGCGUAGGCGGCCUGGUAAGUCGGGGGUGAAACGCUGCGGCUCAACCGCAGCACUGCCUUCGAGACUGUCAGGCUGGAGCACGGUAGAGGCUGGUGGAAUUCCCGGUGUAGCGGUGGAAUGCGUAGAGAGCGGGAAGAACAUCGGUGGCGAAGGCGGCCAGCUGGGCCGUUGCUGACGCUGAGGCGCGACAGCGUGGGGAGCAAACA